GGGGGUGUGGCUCAGUUGGUAGAGUGCUUGCCUAACAUGCAUGGAGCUGGGAGUUUGAUUCCCCAGCUCUG
This 71-nucleotide transfer RNA is filed under the name Rattus norvegicus (Norway rat). It matches the Rfam family "tRNA". Rfam says of the family: Transfer RNA (tRNA) molecules are approximately 80 nucleotides in length. Their secondary structure includes four short double-helical elements and three loops (D, anti-codon, and T loops). Lineage: Eukaryota; Metazoa; Chordata; Mammalia; Rodentia; Muridae. The record is from Rfam by way of RNAcentral.